CCUACGGGAGGCUGCAGUAAGGAAUCUUGCGCAAUGGGCGAAAGCCUGACGCAGCAACGCCGCGUGAGUGAUGAAGGCCUUCGGGUCGUAAAGCUCUGUCAGAGGGGAAGAAAUGCAGGUGGUGAACAACCAUUCUGUUUGACGGUACCCUCAAAGGAAGCACCGGCUAACUCCGUGCCAGCAGCCGCGGUAAUACGGAGGGUGCGAGCGUUGUUCGGAACUAUUGGGCGUAAAGCGCGUGUAGGCGGUUUUUUAAGUCUGAUGUGAAAGCCCCGGGCUCAACCUGGGAAGUGCAUUGGAUACUGGCAGACUUGAGUACGGGAGAGGAGAGUGGAAUUCCCAGUGUAGGAGUGAAAUCCGUAGAUAUUGGGAGGACCACCGGUGGCGAGGGCGGCUCUCGGGACCGAUACUGACGCUGAGACGCGAAAGCGUGGGGAGCAAACAGGAUUAGAUCCCCGGGUAGU
Molecule: ribosomal RNA, 464 nt
Filed under: uncultured Geobacteraceae bacterium
Lineage: Bacteria; Pseudomonadati; Thermodesulfobacteriota; Desulfuromonadia; Geobacterales; Geobacteraceae
Description: partial 16S ribosomal RNA
Rfam family: Bacterial small subunit ribosomal RNA
Source: RNAcentral